This 85-nucleotide transfer RNA is filed under the name Kiloniella laminariae. RNAcentral's name for it is "tRNA-Leu". It matches the Rfam family "tRNA". From Rfam's summary of the family: Transfer RNA (tRNA) molecules are approximately 80 nucleotides in length. Their secondary structure includes four short double-helical elements and three loops (D, anti-codon, and T loops). Lineage: Bacteria; Pseudomonadati; Pseudomonadota; Alphaproteobacteria; Rhodospirillales; Kiloniellaceae. The record is from RNAcentral.
GCGGGUGUGGCGGAAUUGGUAGACGCACCAGAUUUAGGUUCUGGCGCCGAGAGGCGUGGAGGUUCAAGUCCUCUCUCCCGCACCA